GAUUAACGCUGGCGGCGUGCAUAACACAUGCAAGUCGAACGAUGAAACUUUAAUGAACCCUUCGGGGAGAAUUAAAGCGGAUUAGUGGCGAACGGGUGAGUAACGCGUGAGUAACCUGCCUUACACAAGGGGAUAGCCUUUGGAAACGAAGAAUAAUACCCUAUAAAACCAUAAAAGCACAUGCAAUUAUGGUCAAAGUGAUAGCGGUGUAAGAUGGACUUGCGUCUGAUUAGCUAGUUGGUGAGAUAAAAGCCCACCAAGGCAACGAUCAGUAGCCGGCUUGAGAGAGUGGACGGCCACAUUGGGACUGAGACACGGCCCAGACUCCGACGGGAGGCAGCAGUGGGGAAUUUUGCACAAUGGGGGAAACCCUGAUGCAGCGACGCCGCGUGAUUUAGAAGGCCUUCGGGUUGUAAAAAUCGUUUGUAUAGGAAGAAAAUGACAGUACUAUACGAAUAAGGUCCGGCUAAUUACGUG
Molecule: ribosomal RNA, 477 nt
Filed under: uncultured bacterium
Lineage: Bacteria
Description: partial 16S ribosomal RNA
Rfam family: Bacterial small subunit ribosomal RNA
Source: RNAcentral